GAUGAACGCUGGCGGCAUGCCUUACACAUGCAAGUCGAACGGUAACGGGUCCUUCGGGAUGCCGACGAGUGGCGAACGGGUGAGUAAUAUAUCGGAACGUGCCCAGUAGUGGGGGAUAACUGCUCGAAAGAGCAGCUAAUACCGCAUACGACCUGAGGGCGAAAGGGGGGGAUCGCAAGACCUCUCGCUAUUGGAGCGGCCGAUAUCAGAUUAGCUAGUUGGUGGGGUAAAGGCCUACCAAGGCAACGAUCUGUAGUUGGUCUGAGAGGACGACCAGCCACACUGGGACUGAGACACGGUCCAGACUCCUACGGGAGGCAGCAGUGGGGAAUUUUGGACAAUGGGCGCAAGCCUGAUCCAGCAAUGCCGCGUGCAGGAAGAAGGCCUUCGGGUUGUAAACUGCUUUUGUCAGGGAAGAAAUCUUCUGGGCUAAUACCCCGGGAGGAUGACGGUACCUGAAGAAUAAGCACCGGCUAACUACGUGCCAGCCGCCGCCGUAA
Molecule: ribosomal RNA, 500 nt
Filed under: uncultured bacterium
Lineage: Bacteria
Description: partial 16S ribosomal RNA
Rfam family: Bacterial small subunit ribosomal RNA
Source: RNAcentral